This is a long non-coding RNA of Oryctolagus cuniculus (rabbit), 3245 nucleotides long. NCBI's taxonomy places the organism in Eukaryota, Metazoa, Chordata, Mammalia, Lagomorpha, Leporidae. The record is from Ensembl.
ACCCUCUGCUUCUAGCCCCAGUGAUGCGGGGUGGGGGUGGGGUGGGGGCAACAUGGACGCUGCUCCCAGAAGCCCACCCUCCUGAUGUCUGACCCGAGCCCUCCUUGGCGCCUUGGACCUGGCUGGCGUCUCUCAACUCCCUCCCAGGGCCAGCAGCUCCGCUGCGGGGGCCCGGGCUCCUCUCCCUCUGCACGUUCCCCCCGCGUGAGCUCAUCCCGCCCAUGGCUGUAAUUCCGGCGGAUGGGCCGCGGCUGCCUCUCCAGUGCGGGCUUGUCUCCGAGCUGCUCCACUCGUGGACACCUCUGCCUGGAUUCCUGCCCCCCUCCCCCCGCGCUCCACCUCCACAUGUGUGAACUUGAAUGCAGUCUGAACCUGGCCUCCUCCCUUCUUAUCUCAGCGAGCAGCUCCUCAGGUGCCUGUCAGGAACCUGGGCGGGAUUCCUGCCUCCUUCUUGCUCACCCCCCACCCUCGGGUCAGCCCCUGCUGCCCUUUCCUGCGCCCCCACACUAGCGCGGGAGGCGGCGGCUGUCACAGUGGUCGGUGGGCGCCCCUUCCUCCAAGCUGCCCUCCACCCCGCCUCUGAGGAUGAGGGGCACCUUCUGUCCAUCUCCGCUCACCUGUCACUGCCGGCUGUCGAGGGCCACUGUUCUCCGUGUGAAUGGAUAGAGCUGGCUGAUUUCACACGUGAGUUUUGGAAACAGAAUCUACCACUUUUCAGUUCCGCCCUGUGUUCUGUCUUCCUUCCUCCCGUCACCACAAGCUUUCUGAGUCGGGAAUCAAAUGGGCGGUCCUCCUUGGGUUCCCCUGUCUCACAUCACUGGCCCCACCCUGCCAGUCACUGCUGUGGGGGCUGUGAGAACAGCACCCCAAGUGUGGCUCUGUCACACGCGCUGAGUACUUGGAACAGCACCCUGAGUGUGGCUCUGUCACACACGCUGAGUACUUGGAACUAACAAAAAGCAGCCUUGUAGCUGAGGUCUCUCUGGCCUCUCCCCCACCCCAGCACAGGUAGGGGCUCCCUCUGCAGUGUCCCAGAGGAUGGACCCCCCGAAGCUGAACGCGUGGGAAGGAAGACUUUGUCCAAGGCUGCUGGCUGUUCUUUGGGCCCAUCCUACUCCCCUAAAAUCGUGUACCCUUGCUCCACACUGCCCACACCCCUGUUUCCCUGGGUGCACGCGCCUCUGCGUCUCACUGGGCUACUGCGACACCGCCACGCACGUGGUGAGCUCGCUGCCUGUCUCCCGCUAUCUGUGUAUUGCGGUUGAUGCCAGCGGACGCAGGGAUACUCCUUCCGGGGCAGGGGGAGAGGAAGCUCCUUUGCUUACAACCGUGCUCCUGGAUGGGGCCGGGCAGAAGGAGGCUGAGGCCAGCUCCAGAGCCCCUGGUCUGGUUCCCCCUGUGUCUUCCCUCCAACGUGCUGGGGCCGUGUGAGCUGCCCCGACGCCAUAGGGGUGGAGAGGGGACCAGGAAGGGGUCUUUGAGAGAGAGGCGGGUGAGCAGUGUGACGCUGAGGGAUACCCCUGGGCUGUGGGGAGCGGUCAGUCAGUCACAAAGCCUCCUCCCGGAGGUCUCAUCAGCAGAUGGGGUCUCCAUCAAGGAAAGGUGCAGAUGUGUGAGCCACAGAGAAUUGGUGAUACACAGAUCAAUACCUUCUGAACUACAAAGGACCUCAAGCUCAUCUCCUUCAACCCUGACCCACGGCAAGAAUCUCCUCUUCCAUCUCUGGUGGGUCUUAUUUUGUCUUCACUUGUAUGCCUCCAGUGACGGGGAGCUCACCACCACCACAGCAGGAACUUUUAGGCACCUGAUCAUACCUGUUCUCCCCACCAGCCUCUUCUCUCCUUCCUAAUCCAGAAUCUGAUUUGAAUCAAGUAGCCACCUCUCCACAUGCCAAGGAGAGAAUCAUAGCCGACCUAAGGGGUCGUGGGGAGCCCAUCUGCUGCACCCCCCCCAGUGAAUGAUUUAGGCAAAGCCUUGGACAUGGGACACAAUUCUAGCUAAUGAGGUGCAAGGAAAGCCUGCUCGGAGAGUCUGCAAAAGGUGUCAGAAAGACACACGAGAAGAGCUGGGCCCGUAUGUGAUGCCUGGAACUGGGGCAGCUCUCUUGUGACCAUGGAGAUAGCCAACUGAAGACAAAGUGGACAGGCCGAGGGGAACAGAGAAGACAUGCACAAAACCAAAACAGACACGAGAACAAACACAAAUGGGGGUGCUGACGUAGUCGCUGAACGGCUGAGUUAGCCAGUCCUGGAGCUGCAGCUACAUUUUAAGCAAACCCAAAAAGAUAUGAACUCAUUAAGCAGGCAUCCAACGAAACGGUUUACGCAAACUGCAACUAACCCAGGAAUCUCUAAUCCUAACCGUGUGCGAUUGAGUUUUGAACCUUAACACCCCUCUGUUUUAUUUUGCUUUUUCAGUUUUGCCCCACCGUCCGUCUCCCCUGGAUCCGUGGAUUAGCAUAUUAGAAUAUUCUCCCCACUGGGAGGAACAGGGCUGAGGAGGGAGCGCCCCAACACCAGCGCAAGCCGGGGUCCCCUCGUCGUGGGCUCUGUCUUCCUGUGGACCAACGCCUGGCUGAUGGGUUCACGGCGCCUCUGAUGCACGGGCUGUUCUUGCUCAUAAGGAUGGACCGACGUCAGCUGACCUGCAUGUUCCUUCUCAGGUCUAGGGGGUGCGGGGUGGGGGCGGUCAUGGUGUGGCCUUCCCCAGCCCCUUUGCUGCUGGGCAGGCAGGGCCAGAGGUGGAGAUGAUUACCUGGGGCCCACCAGAGGGCGCUCCUUUCCCAGUGGCCGCCCCACACUCACUCCUGAGGCCCUGGCCUUCCCCAGGCCUCUCUCCCACUCACCCUCCUGACCCUCAGUCAGAGUAGGGCUCCACCUCCUACAGAUCCCAAAACAGAUCUUAGGGGAUCAGCACUGUGGUGUAGCCGGUAAACCCGCCAUGUGCAGGGCCGGCAACCCAUAGGAGCAUUGGUUCAAGUCCCGGCUGCUCCUCUUCUGAUCCAGCUCCCUGCUAAUGCACCUGGGAGAGCAGUAGAAGAUGGCCCCAGUCCUUGGGCCCCUGCACCCAUGUGAAGAGACCUGGAAGAAUCUCCUGGCUCCUGGCUUCAGAUUGGCCCAGCUCUGGUAGUUGCAGCCAUUUGGGGGAAUGAACCAGUGGAUGGAAGAUCUCUUUCUAUCUCUAUGUCUCCUCUCUGUGUAACUCUGUCAAAUAAAUAUUAAAAAAAAAAAAAAAAGCCCCCGACC